This 73-nucleotide transfer RNA is filed under the name Myxococcales bacterium. RNAcentral's name for it is "tRNA-Asn". It matches the Rfam family "tRNA". Rfam says of the family: Transfer RNA (tRNA) molecules are approximately 80 nucleotides in length. Their secondary structure includes four short double-helical elements and three loops (D, anti-codon, and T loops). Further hydrogen bonds mediate the characteristic L-shaped molecular structure. tRNAs have two regions of fundamental functional importance: the anti-codon, which is responsible for specific mRNA codon recognition, and the 3' end, to which the tRNAs corresponding amino acid is attached (by aminoacyl-tRNA synthetases). tRNAs cope with the degeneracy of the genetic code in two manners: having more than one tRNA (with a specific anti-codon) for a particular amino acid; and 'wobble' base-pairing, i.e. permitting non-standard base-pairing at the 3rd anti-codon position. Lineage: Bacteria; Pseudomonadati; Myxococcota; Myxococcia; Myxococcales. The record is from RNAcentral.
UGUGGAGUGGAGGAGUGGACCACUCGCCGGUCUGUUGAAACCGGAGACGUGGGUUCGAUUCCCACCUCCACAA